UCUGUGCCUAUCCGUUUAUCCCGUUGGAUUUCACCGUGACGAACAGAGCUCGAGCGAGCUAGCGCCAGCGCCGGCCAACACCCAUGCCGCCGUUGCCCUUCGCGUCACCGCCAGCAAGUAGCUCCACUAGUCCCACCACGACGCCCAAGCCUAACCGUUGCUCGUCUCCCUGCCGGCAAGCUUCGAAUCGCCGUCGUUACUGUCCGCCGGCCACCGUCACCUAUCU
This 226-nucleotide long non-coding RNA is filed under the name Setaria italica (foxtail millet). RNAcentral's name for it is "long non-coding RNA (SITA_LNC004407)". The record is from RNAcentral. Lineage: Eukaryota; Viridiplantae; Streptophyta; Magnoliopsida; Poales; Poaceae.